Non-coding RNA from Chrysemys picta bellii (western painted turtle), 10535 nucleotides. Lineage: Eukaryota; Metazoa; Chordata; Testudines; Emydidae. The record is from RefSeq and is a predicted model, not a curated record.
GCCAGGGCUGAAAGCUCCAUCGCGGUCCCAGAUGGGGCUGUGAGUGUGACCCCAGCCCAGGCCAAGCUCUCAGCCCCUACCCCUACCCCUACCCCUACCCCAGCUGGGCCACCAGGGGGCUGAGAGCAGCGAGGGGACAUGGCCUCAGCCAGAAUAGGCGGGCCUUGGCCGGAAGAGGUGGGGCAGGGGGAUAGCCUCCCCAAAGGGAAGCUUCACCCUCCACCCAUGUGAGUGAUAUAAAAGGAACUCUUAAGGCCAUAUUAGAAGAAUAUUGAAAUGGUAAACCGGGCCACUCCUUGAACAUAGUUAUCAAAGCCAUGUUCAAUAGACCAGAAUCCUUGUGUUUACCUAUAUCUUGUUAGAAGUUUAAUAAUAUGAUCUAAUUAGCUUGUAGAUGCUGAACUUCUGUUCCUGUCUAUAAUGUUUCAUUACAUUCAUUCUAUUGAUUCAGAGAUCAAAAAGGGAUAUUAUCAUUUAGAUGGGACUUGUGGUAUCGUAAUGUUAUUGACUUAAUUUCUCUUUGAAAUUUAUAGUAAAACUACCUGUGCACUGUUUGAUGGUUAAUUGUCUUAUGGUAAUGAAUACAACUAGUUACUGGUGCACUCCUAGGAAACCAAGAUUAGCUUCAAAGCAACAAUGCACAUAACCUGUUCUUCAUCCAGGGAAGCCCUGCUGUGAUCAUUUGCUGCCAAGAGACUUAUCCACUGAACUUCAGCUAUAAAGAAAGUUUCUGACCUGAUCCUUUUUACCACAGAUCUGCUUAAACUUUUGACAGGGAAAGACUAAGCCCACAAGACUGAGGUCUCUAGGUCUACGCUGGAUUAACCCUGCAAUUCUCGUGAAACAAUUUGAACAAACUCUGCUUAUGGACUGCCUAUUAGACUAUAAAUUUUAAAUUGAUUCAAGAAGGAUUAUUACAAAUCAUCAGCCUCACCAUCUCUGAUAUGAAACUGACCUAAGAACUUUAUUCAUAUCUGUAUGUAUAUUGAUCUUUUAACCAUAGCAACUUUUUUCUUUUUGCUUUUUAUUAAUAAAUCUUAGAUUUAGUUAAUAAGGAUUGGCUUUACAGUGUAUUGGGUAAGAUCUGAAAUAUUUAUUGACCUGGUGGGUAAUGUGUCUUGGGAUUGGUAGAACUUUACAUAUGGUGAAUAAGGUUUUUAGUACCCCUUAUUAUAUUCGACUUGGCUGUCUGGGUGGGAACCAAAGGCUAGAUUGCUUAAAAGGGACUGUAUUUUGGCUUCUUGGUAACCAGUAAGGUAUUACAGAAGCUGUUUGGUUACUGGCUUGGAGAAAUAUAAUUAUAGAAUAACCAUUAGUUUUGGGGAUUGUCUACCUUUAUUUUUUGUAGUUUGCCCUGAAUAAGCAUUCUUGAUGUGGCCUCUGCAGGUACCACAACCCCAUUUAGGCCUCAAUGCAGUAAAGAAUUAAAGUAUGCGGUAUAUUUAAAGAUGAAUAGUCCUGUUGAAGUCAAUGAAAUUACUUUCAUGCUUGAUGUUAAGCAUGUGCUUAAGUGCUCUGAUGGAUCAGAGUCUUAGACUGAAAGUAUAUGGUUGCUCUUUGUGUAAUGGGAAACAACAGAGAUCUCACAUGAGUAAGGACAACAGAAUUUUAUUGAUCAAUUUUGAAAUGUUUAGUUCUUUCAUUGUCAAGAUAUUUUGGGGUCAGAGAUGUGGGGGGAGGAGGAAGUAUGUUUCCUUGUUUGAGAUGCCAUUUCAUGUUAAUGUCUCAAGGUGAUUCUUGAUGAUAAGAUUAAAUUGGUCUUGGUUUAUAAAAAUGUCUGAGCUAGUUUCAUACCUUAAUGCAGGUGUACUAAAUACAUACAUUAGAAUAUGGCUCUGCAGUUGUUCUGCCCUGUUGCACCCAUAGCAUGGCAUAUUUAUUUAAAAAAAAAAUCCAUAAUUACAGGUAUUUAUUUAGCUGACAGACCAGAACAGAUCCAAUGAAGUUGUUCCAGUCUCAGAAUUAAAUUAAAUGCAUCUUGCAAAACUGUCUAAUUACAUAUUUAUCCAAGGAGCUGUUCUCAUCUUGAGGGUAAAUAAAGCACAAUUUAUAGAAAUUGAUGGAAGUUUUUUUUUCUUUUUUCUUUUUCAUUUUACAUAGAUAUCCAAGUUGUGACAGAGGCUGGCAAGAGCAUAGCCAGGAAAUUCAGAGCUAAAACUGACUAUCUCCUCAAUACAUAUAAUUGUACCUCUUUCCACUAGAAAAAUCAAUGUGUGCCAGAUGGCAACUUAAAGUUGCCUAGAGGAGUGGGGGGUUCUUUUCUUUGUGUCACGUUAUUUAAAUAAGAGGUUUUGGAAUUAAAUUAAAAUGUAAUAUAUUAUUGGCUUUCCUAUAUGUCAAUUACAUUUUCGAGCAUUCUUUUCCUGGGACAAUAGAUAACUAUGGAAUAUCUGUAAAGAUCACGUGUGUGGCUAAGGUGGAUGGGAGGGAGAGGUGCCAUGAAGUGACGCAGCUGAGGAAGCAAAGUUACUGGAUAUGAAUGGGUGAGGUAGGAGUCCAGGAAACUUUGAGGUGGAGGUAGGGCCUUGCUGGAAGAGCUUGGAAGACAAGGGAGGUUUAUGCAUGUUCAAUAUGUUCAGUUCUCAUUUUUACCAGUCAAAAUCUGGAAUAAAUCCCUUGAGAUCAACAGAUUUACUCUGAUUUAUAUACUGCAUCUGAGAUCAUAAUCUGGCCCAGUGUGACUAGAGGAGGAUUUCUGUGGCAUGCUCAAGAUUUUCCUUGAGUAAACAUGUUGGGUCCAUUUCUGCUUUCUUAUUAUACCAGUGCCAAUAAUUGACUCGCAUUAGUGUAAAAGAGUGAAUUUAUUUGGUUGCAUACUAAAGAAAGCUGUCUUCAGAAAGUUGCCUAGUAAAUGAUUCCACAUGCAUUAAUUCACCAGCACUAAAGAUCCUUAACACUUGAGGAUAGAACCUUAGCAACAAAAAGGAUCAUUACUCAGACAAGGAAGAAAGAUGACUGAAAAACAUAAAAAGCAUGUGCUGUGCAGUAACCAUCAAAUGAGGAAAAUGCUAUAGGGAUUUCUGUGAUUUAUGAUGUUCCAUAAAUCUGGGCCUGUCUCUGAUGUGAAUGGAGAGGGCGGAGGGUUGGCAAAGAGCUUCCUCAGUUUUCACUUGUCCAUUUUUUAUCAUGUACAGAAAUUUCCUUGUCAGAUAUUACUUGUUUUACAACCUUGUUUCUAAAAUGUACAGUGAGGACCAGCCACGUUGAUUAUAAUCUAUAAAUACUUAUGUGGGGAACAAAUAUUUAAUAAUGGGUUCUUCAACUGAGCAAAGAAAGGUAUAAUAUGCUCCAAUGGCUUGAAGUUCACGCUAGACAAAUUCAGACUGGAAAUCAGGUGUAAAAUUUAACAGUGAGAGUAAAUUAACCAGUGGAACAAUUUACCAAGGGUCAUGGUGGAUUCUCCAUCACUGACAAUUUUAAAAUCAAGAUUGGAUGUUUUUCUCAAAGAGAUGCUCUAGGAUUAUGGCCUGUGCUAUAGAGGGGAUCAGACUAGAUGAUCACAAAGGUCUCUUCUGGCCUUGAAAUCUAUGAAAUAUAUUUAGGGAUACAGUAACAUGCAUUCAUAAAUUAUACCUCACAACAGCCCUGUGAGCUAGGGAAGUACUAUCUGUAAAAGGGGGAAACUGGUAAUAAAUAAUUUAGAAGUCAUCUUCAAACAUGAGUGCUGUAAAGUGAGUAGUCAGGCAUUAAAGAGUUAAUAAUAUUGUAUUGCUCUUGUAACCCACUCCCUAAGUCGGACACAGGUUUCUUCCCUGCCACACUCAGUCUGUACUAGCAGCAGACAGUAAAGCAGACCCUGAAACUGUCUGUGUUUGUAUGCACGCAGUCAUUCCUGAGCUGUAAACACAACAGGUGCCUAAAGUUAUCCAUAGACAUGUGCUUUAAAAUUAGACACCCUAUAAGCCCCUCAUUGUGCAGUUAGACACCUAAUUUUAGGCUUUUAGGUCUGGAAAUUGCAGUCUACUGGUAAGUGACUUGCCUGUGUUUGUACCAUAUGAACAGGUUUUCAAAGGUAAUUGGGUGCCUAAAAAUGCAGAUUGGUGCCUAGUGGGAUUUUCAAAAGUGUCUAAGCAGAUUAGGUGCCUAACUCACUUUUUAAAAUCCUCAAAGGUGCCCACCUGCAUCAUUAGAUGCAUACAUACCUAUGAAAACCUGGUUCUAAGUUCAUUUUGCAGAGCUAGACAAAACACAGGAUUCCUGACCAUUCCCUUUUCUAACAGCUCCUGUUCUUUACUGGGCUAUUUAAUUGUCCAGUUGAUUUAUCUUUGGGCUUGUCAUGAAUCUUGUUUUAAAAACAGCAAACUAACUAUACAUUUUCCAGGAUAGAAGGGCUACUGAACUAUUAAACAGAGCAGUUGAUUUCACUUUUUAUGCUCUAUAACAAAGUGGGUUGGCCUUGGCCUAGCAAACCACAGGCUAAUUUUAAGCACAUACCCAAGAGAGUGCUCAUGUAGCAAUGAAUUUAUUGAUUACCGAUAAUGUUGUUCUGUAGCUGCUUUGACUGACAAACUGAUAGCACAAGAUAGCUUUGGCUGUUUUAUAUCGGGUGAAUAUAUUCCAUCAAUCUGCUAGAGUUACCAACUGUGAAUGACAAACCGUGUGUCUCUCAGAAACUCCUUUUUAGUGCAGCAAAUGCCCACUCUCUCUUCACUCAACUCCCUUCUUUCAUUAAGCCUUCCAAUAAUAAUCCACCAGAUAAAGAAAUAGAUACACUGGGACAUGGUGAAAGCUUUUUUGUUUAUUAUCUUGUCUUGGUCCUCUUUCUAUUACAUCUUGCAAUGUGUUUUGUCUGUCUAAGGGUAUGUCUACACAAAAAAUGUAAGUUGACCUAUAUUGGGGCGACUUACAGCCACCACAGUAAUUACUGAGGUGGUGCAUGUCCACAUGACCCUCCUUGGGUCAGUGGUGCAUGUCCUCACCAGAAGCGUUUCCACCAACCUACUUAGUAUAAGGGGACUACCAUCAAUCAAAUGUAGGCCCUGCCCCUGACCCCUCAGGCCCCCCCAUCUGUCACCAUAACACCUGCCCCCUGGGGGCAUUAUUUCCGCGGUCAAGACGGACACAUGACCGGAAAGAAAGGGUGUCAUGUGACCCCCUCUAGGAACUCCUCCCACCACCCUCUACCAAUCAGGAUGGGCUUCACCCACUGUAGGACCGUCCUGAGAGGAGAUUUGACCAAUCAGGGGGUGUUCCAGGGCAGGGUGACCUGCCUGGAAGAGGGUCAUUUGAUCACUCUAAAAGCUCCACCUACUGCCCUCUAUCAAUCAGAGUGCAGCACCACACUGGGAAGUCCCUGUGCCGUGCGGAAGAGGCCAUUUCAUUCUAAGAACCCGUAUUUUAGAAAUAGUGGAAAGGCUGAGAGGAAACAUGGACUCCUUCACCACCACCGGGAGAAAUUCGGACUUCAUUUUAGCUCCAAGGGCCUUCGACCGCCCGCGGAGAAAGCGCUACAUCAGCUACAGUUCCAAGGAGGAGGGAGCGGCCGAGGGAAGCCCUUUGGCCCAGCUGUUGAUGGAUACACCAGAACCUGACUCCGAAAACCAACCACUCGUGAGGAAGACCACCCCUAUGGAGGAAGGCGACCAUGGCUCAGGGGAGUCACCAGUGGACAAGAUGAACGGAAAACACGUCCCUCCGCAGCUCAAUGAUGCCUUUCUAGAGGACCCGGAGGCCCUGGACAGCGUCGCAUCAGACAGCGAAGAAGAACUGGGCCCGUCUUGUUUUUGCUCAAUGCUGGUACAAAGCAUUGACGAGGACACCGAGGAUGACAGCUACGUGGAUUUAAGGAGGAGGCUUGGCAUGGAACUAACUGAGGCAGUGCCACGUCGUGAGCAUAAAAAAGUCAUGCAUUCUAUUGCCCAAAUACAUGUGGGAGAAAACAGAAUAACCAUGUGUCAGCAUCUCUUUACCCUGUGAUGGAAGUAUGGUCAAGACAUGAGAGAUCCUUAGACCAGGGGGUAAACAAGCUCAAAAGAAAAAGGAAAGAGACAGCUGAAAAGGAAAAUUCACCAGCAUCAACAGCUGAUAGAUGGAUGAAGCCCAGCAUGGGCAGCUCUCCUGUCAGAGCUACAGGGACACCUCCACCAGGACCACCAAAGAACCAGAAAUCUGCUCUGAGACCUUUAACAACAACAGCGCCAAUGCAAAACAGCACAGACGAAGCAUCAGGGCAGUCCAAAACUUGUAUACGUCAAACCCAAGGACAAAACAAAAGACUCUGGUAAAAAGCAACCAGGCAAACACAACUCCAGUUUCUCAGCGGCCACCACUACACCAAGCCCUGAGAAAACUGUGAGCGAAAACACACACAUUCACAAACCCGGAGAACGCGCUUUAGGGGUUGUGAAUAAAAAAAACAAGAACUGAAACCCCAGCGUCACAGGAGCUAUCGCCUUAUGAAGUAUUUGAAAUUAUGAUGAACCAUUCUCCAAACACAACAAGCUAGGCCCAGCGCUUUGGUAUUCUAAAAAGAUUUGGGAAAAAUAUGACGCUUCAUUCAGAAAGCUGAUGCAUGCUGUAUCCUCUGGGGUUCUAAAAGAAAGGAGGACUGGAAACUACAUCAAAAAUGCAAAUGCUCUUGCGGGUGGCUUUUUGAAAAAUACUUUGGUUUUUCCAGAGGGUGGUUCUGAGCAGGCGUGACUAGUUGUGGAAAGGGGCCUGGGUAAAAGGGGCAUCCUCAAGGGAACACAUCAGCUAAGGCGUAAACAAAAGAGGGGACAGCAUUUGGAGGAUAAAUGGAUGGCUGCCCAAACGUUAUGGGCCAGGGUCGCUGUAAUUUUUUUUAAAAGGCUAAAGAAGUGAUGAGGAGGAAAAAAACAAAGAGAUGCCCCCUAUUGGAGGCUCUCAGACUGAUGUGUCUGAGAAUGGGGAGGCGGAAUCUGAACUGCAGGGUGGUGGUGACUCUCAAAUAGAGUCUGAUUUAGAAAAUUCCCCAGAAGGCCCUCUAGAUGGAUCCCUGUCUACUCCUGAUGAUCCUCGUGGUGGCCCCUCGGAAGCUGACUCUCAAAUAGCAUCUGACAAGGAAGACGCAGCUGAUGGUCCCAUAGAGGAAUGCCCAAGUAACCCUGAAAAUGCAGAUGCAGAUCCCCAAACAGAUGUGUGUAUGGAGUGAGUGAGAAGUUGGCAAUGGGAACUACCUAGAUUUGGGGGUUCGGUGUAUUGAGGAAUUUUGUAAUUUAACCAACCCUUUGUUUUCAGUAAGAAGAACUAGGGAUGAGCUGUCUGCUGAAGACUUCUUAAAUCAGACCUCAAAGCUGUUACAGAGUAAUAGAGAGAUGCAUGUCAAUGGGACGUUGCGCCUCAUUGUGACAAUUGUAAAAAACAUGGGCUGAGGUGGCCGUAGAGUUUUAAAUUCUAUCCUCAGAAGUCAAAUCAUCCAUAAAAAGAGACAGUGUUUAGUAGACCUGAUUGACACCAGUACCAAUCUGUGUUUUGCGGGCAGGCUCUGCCGUCAUGUCCGACUGUAAACCCACAGAUGUGGAAUUGUUAGAUGGGGUGAGAAAAUUGCAUGAGACACUGGAGUGGUCAGAUUAAAAAAAAGAUUAUGCUCAGCGACGUAGCAGCAUUUGAACAGCAUUUAGGAGUCAGCAUACAGGCGGUGCUUUAUGCGGUGAAAGAUGGGGGGGUAAAACGGGAGGCCCAGUGUACCCCAAGACUUUUUUCAUCCUAUUGCACGAUGGGCAUUAUUAUGGGGUUCUGGAUGUGAAAAAGUCAUUCAGUGUGAAAAAUUAUUGUGAGUUUUGCCACAAGUUGUACAGUCAUGACCACUCUUGCAGGUAUCAUUGCUGCCUCCGCUUGAGUGCGACGUGCUCCGAUACGGUGGGCGUGCAGCUGAGGUGUCCUAGCUGUAGACUGUAUUGUCAGUCCAAAGCGUGUUUAGACAGACACAUUGACUGUGCAUCGAAAAAACAAGUCAAAUGCCUGUCUAAAACUUUGUGUGAUAAGUGUCAGUCUUACGUGGAUGAAGGGCACAUGUGUAAAGGGAGGCAUUGUAAGCAGUGUCAGGGUUUGAUCACUGCUGAUGUAGACAGCCACCUGUGUUUUAUGGACCGCGUUAGAAAGCCCGAAUCAUCGGAAAAGUAUAUUUUUGAUGAUUUUGAAGGCACGCAGGAGACGGGGUUGCAUGUGUCCAAUUACAUUUUUGCUAUGUCCCUAAAGCCGGAAAAAUCCUGGGAAUUUCAGGGCAGUGAGUCUUUCUACCAUUGUUAAGACCUUUAUUGGCAAAAAGUACCAGGACUACACGUUCCUAUCACACAAGUUACAAUGUGUACUUCAUCGUUAGACAGUUACUGAAGGAAAAGAUGUGCAUAAAACUAAUGUGGGUGGAAGUUAAGGCCCUGGGCAUUCGUUUUAUCAACGCUUUAAACUUCUUGCCCAUGAAGCUUAGCAAACUCCUGCAGGCGAUGGGGUUUAAAGGUUGCAAAGGGUAUUUCCCACUUUUUUUUUUUAAACACUUUAUAAAACCAAAAUUACAUGGGGCCUAUGCCCGGGUGGAGCACUAUGGCAUAGACCGCAGGAUGCCCAGGGAGAAAGCAGAAUUUCUUGACUGGUAUUGGGACAACAGAUAUGAGACAUUUGACUUGCAGAAAGAGCUCGUGUAUUAUUGUCAGCAGGAUGUCAACAUUUUGAGAUGGGCCUGUAUCCUGUACAGAGAAGAGAUCAUGAAAAUGACAGAGAUGAAGGCCCUGGUAAAUUCACAGAGGUAAAAUUGUAUAUAGAUCCUUUCCGGUACAUAACGCUGGCAUCUGUCUGCAUGGCUAUGUACAGGUUUAUGUUUUUGCAGCCUAACACAGUAGCUCUUCUCCUUCCAGACAACUAUCACAGGCAGAAAGAGAUAUUCGACCCCCUCUAUUUAGUGGCUGCUGUAUACCGCUCACAAAGAAAAUAUACAGAUACGGCAUGCUUUACGGGGUGGGGAAUUACAGGUAAGCCCCUACUUUUUAGACAGUUACGCCAGUGUUGAUGGGGUACGCAUGGCCUUUGAGUUUAACGGGUGUGUUUUCCACAGCUGUGUCCCCUAUUAUUGUGAAAAAGCACAGCACCCUAUGAUGGGGACGACUUUUGAGUUUCUUUAUUACACGACGCAGCUCACGAUCGACUAUCUGAAAAGACUUGGUUAUGUAGUGAGGAGUCUCUAGGAGCACGAGGGGGAGACGAUAGUAGAAACAGACAGGAAGCUUGCAGAUUUCUUACAUAAAGCCCAGCUGCCUCAGCCUCUCGUACCUAGGGAUGCUCUUUUUGCUGGGAGGACUAACGCUAUUCGCCUAUAUUACAAACUUAACCCCGGGGAAGAAAUCCACUAUUAUGAUUUUACCAGCCUGUGUGCUUUCGUAAACAAAACCAAAGAAUCCCCAAUCAGACACCCUGCUAUAGUUCAUGACAAAUUUGGACCCCUCAAAUUAUUUUGGAAUUGCGAAAGUUAGUGUACCCCCCUGCGAGGCCUCUUUUUCCCAUUGUUACCUGUCAGAGCGAGUGGCAAACUUAUGUUCCCACUAUGCUGAACCUGUGCGGAAACCGAGCAGCGGGAGAUGUGCACCCAUACUGAGGAGGAGACAGCCAUCCUGGGGCCUUGGUGCACGGUGGAAUUGAAUGUGGCCAUAGAGAAGGGGUACGCGGUGACUAAAAUCUAUUUUUUGAAGAAAAAUCCGAGAACUCUUUUCAGAGUACAUAAAAUUACACCUCCGCCAAAAACAAGAGGCUUCAGGGUAUCCCAGCUGGUGCACAGAUGAAGAAAAACAAAAUAAGUAUGUUAAUGAUUUCUACUGGAAAGAAGGCAUGCGUUUACCCCAACACAAGAUCACGUUGAACCCCGCAAAGCGCCAAAUUGCUAAACUGUUUUUAAAUGUUCUCUGGGGUAAAUUUGGUCAAAGAACAAACCUACCCAAUACCAGCAUUGUGAGAGACGCUGACGAACUCUUUCAGUCCCUGUUUUCCCCCAAUUACGAGGUUUCAUCCUGCGAGUUUGUCGAUGAUGAAACAGCGUGCGUGUCUUGGAAGAACGCGAAAGACCAGUACUCGGUCUCUGGCAAUACCAACAUCUUCAUAGCCUGUUUCAGCACCACUUACAGCUGCUUAGAACUAUAGAACCUGGUAGACGGGUCCAAGAGUGGUGCCUGUACCACGACUCUGACUCGGUGAUAUUUGUGAAAAGGGAGGGUGAAUGGAACCCUCCUCUGGAGGAUUAUUUAGGGGACCUCACAAGUGAGAUCCUGCCAGAUCAACACAUCACCGAGUUUGUGUCAGCCAGCCCAAAAACAUAUGGAUACAAGCUGUCGGGAGGAAAGGCCUGUAUGAAAGUCACAGGGAUUACCCUGAACGUAGCAAACUAUGAAAAGAUCAACUUUGACAGUUUGAAAGAUCUAGUCCUGGACUAUAGGGCGGUGCUGGGAGAGAACACCCCAAAAAAGGUAGAGGUGCAGCAGCCCUGUAUCGUAAGGAAGAAAAAAAAAUAAGUAGCAAAUAGAGACAAAGACCCUUAAAAAAACGCAGAAAGUCGUUUACAACAAGAGGGUCCUUGGAGAAAGGUUUAAAAUCCU